GGCUGUUCCUGUGUUUUUCAUUUUGCAUAAUGUAGCUGAAGUCCUCAUCUGUGGGUACCAGAAGUAUGUCUGGAAAGAGAAAACAUCGUUCACAAAGAUCUGUAGUGCCCUCUUCCUCUUGGCUGCUGCAGGGUGCUUUCCCUUCCAGGACUCUCAGCUCGAUCCAGAUGGAUAUUUCUGGGCUGUAAUUCAUGUAUUUUGUGUAGG
Molecule: long non-coding RNA, 207 nt
Organism: Psammomys obesus (fat sand rat)
Lineage: Eukaryota; Metazoa; Chordata; Mammalia; Rodentia; Muridae
Exons: 4
Source: RefSeq, a predicted model, not a curated record